This 1432-nucleotide long non-coding RNA is filed under the name Phasianus colchicus (ring-necked pheasant). RNAcentral's name for it is "lncRNA (ENSPCLG00000012623.1)". Lineage: Eukaryota; Metazoa; Chordata; Aves; Galliformes; Phasianidae. The record is from RNAcentral.
UUUCUAUAUUAAUUUGCUGUGCAGAGCAUUUUGCCUUGUAUUUAUUUUUUAAGCCAUCUGGGCCUGAAGCUUGAAUAAAUUGCAGGCAGGUACCAGGGCUGCUCAUCAGAUCCCUGGCACAAAACCCUCGUCUGCCAAGCACGGAAAUAAACCCGCCCUGAAUUCCCAUGGGGACAGCUGGACUUACUGUGUGUGGGGGGAAGAAGCACACCCAGCUCAAGGUGUGCAUGUCAGCUAUUAUCACAUCACAGACCACGCUGCAGUGAAGAACAGAACCAGAGCUCCCAGUAUCUUUCAGAAAAGCAAGCUUUCUUCUUGGAUCCAAGGGAAGCGCUUGCAUCUUUGCUUUUAGCUACGUGAUGUGAGAACAACCACUGAAGCUGAUUCAUGCACCUGGUGCCAGAUCUGGCAGAACAAAGAGCUCAGGUGGCAAGGAGUGUCCAUCCUUUCAUGUUCCUCCCGCCUCUAAUGUAUUCCAAAGAUGCAAAACAAAGAAUGAAGAGAAUAUAGCUGGAGUCAGUUUAGCAUCAGCAAAGAGCAAGAGUGUGGGAUUUACAAUUUGGUAGCUGUCACAAGCAGAAAGCAUUCACUAAUGAAGUCCAAACAGGUGUCAAAUAGACAUUGUGUUCCUGUUCCUAUCUCCUUUUUCUUGAGGACUGAAUAAUUCAUGAGCAAACACUCACCUGUGAAAGUCACGGGUAAAUCUCACACUGGCUAGUUUUGCUAAGGCAUCUCUAUGCCAGGAAAAAGUUGAGUAUGGGGUUGAUGUGUUCCAGAGGAUCAACUUUCCAAGAUCUGAAGGGAGCCAGUUUCAGUGGGGCAGGAAACACGUAUUUGGCAGCACCAGGGGCUGAACCCUGCCCAACACCACAAGUCCACUACAAGCCUUAUUCUGAUGGCCCAAACUUGACUUCUUUCACAGGAAAAACUUGCAGCCACACAACACCGUGGUCGUUCUGGCAAUGAACAGUAACCAGUGCUUGAGGGAGUCAGACCCUGUUACCAUAACAGUCAGUUUGUGAUUUGUGCUUUCACUGUAUUCCUUCAAAAUGGUAACUGCAUUGCAAAUAUUUCAUUUCAGAACUAGUUCUUUGUUAAACAAGUCCAUGAAUUUCAUGGCCAGCUGUUUGUGAUAUUGCAUCUCAGGAGAAAACAUCCUAACAGAUCAAAAAAAAAGCAGCUGAUAGCCUCUGAACAAGUAUGAUACACAUUUUCUUCUCAUUUAAUGCUCAUUUCUGAAACCCAGAAUCCCAGUAGGCACAAGGGGAGGGUUUGCCAUUCAUCUUCUUAGAAUUAUCUCACAAGCUCACAGACAAAACUUUGGUGUCAAAUAGAAGUCAGCAUAACAAAGGAUGCAGAGGGUUUUAAUAUGUGAAUCUUCCUUGUGUCACAACUGCAGUCUUUUAGCUCCUUGCAUUGCGUCUGCUUGUUG